Long non-coding RNA from Apodemus sylvaticus (European woodmouse), 1106 nucleotides. RefSeq lists it as uncharacterized. The record is from RefSeq and is a predicted model, not a curated record. Lineage: Eukaryota; Metazoa; Chordata; Mammalia; Rodentia; Muridae. The transcript is spliced from 2 exons.
GGACAGGGACUUGGGGACCCCAGCAGCGACAACUCCAGCCAAGGGACUUUUCCCCAGGGUCCCUCUCCUUGUUGGCCCUGUCCCUGGACAUACGCCCCAUGGGAGGCAGUGGCUACAGGGUCAAGAAGCAGACUGUGACGCUCAAGUUGGAGAACUUGCCCCUUCCUGGGUGUCUCCACCUGCAAGGUGAGUGUGGGACCCUGCUCACUCUUGAGCUGUGGGAAGCCCAGGGGCCCAGACGGCUCCCAGGGGCACUGAAGAGUUAGAGCUAAACGGAGGUCAGGGGCUCCACCCUUGCUUCCUCCCAGGAGGCAGGGCAGAACAGGGGCCUGCUGCACCAGGUAACCGACCACGUCUGCUUGGUCACCGGAGCCCACGGGAAUGAAAGCAGCAGACGGGUCCAGCUCAGGAAACCCUCAGGUCAAAGCCCUGGCAAGCUCCCCUCUGGGCCAGGACACAAAAGACUCCAAGCCUGGUCUGUAAGUUGGAAAAUAACUUUAUUUGUUCUAGGGCACGGGCCAGAGUCCCUUAGAACUUCUGAAACUGCUUCUUGGUGCCAGCAGCCUUGGUGACCUUGAGCACAUUGAAUCGAACAGUCUUGCUCAGGGGUCUGCACUCCCCAACGGUGACAAUGUCGCCGAUCUGUACGUCCCUGUGGGGUUAGACAAGGUAGUCUUCAGGAGGGGUCUCCCCAAUACCUUCACUCACAGACAGGCUGAGGGUGCCUCCUCUGCUCCACCCAACCAGCCGCCAUCUAUGUGGUUGUGAAGACUGACCCAAACUAUAGCUUCUAGUUCCCUGCCUUUCCCAGCAGGCUGCACUGCUCUGCCCACAGGACACCCCUGUGUUCUAAAGACACCUGCACUUCCAUUACCUCUCCACAUCUGAGGCCCUUCCUGACACGGGUGCCCUCCAGCCUUGCCAGUGACUCUUGUCUGGAGUUAAUAUCCCACCCUAUCAGAGAACCGUGAUCACCUGAAACAGGGGGACAGGUGCACAGACAUGUUCUUGUGCCGCUUCUCGAAGCGGUUGUAUUUCCGGAUGUAGUGGAGGUAGUCCCGGCGGAUGACGAUGGUCCUCUGCAUCUUCAUCUUCGUCACAACGCC